Molecule: ribosomal RNA, 1290 nt
Filed under: Vibrio parahaemolyticus
Lineage: Bacteria; Pseudomonadati; Pseudomonadota; Gammaproteobacteria; Vibrionales; Vibrionaceae
Description: bacterial SSU rRNA
Rfam family: Bacterial small subunit ribosomal RNA
Source: RNAcentral
ACCGCAUGAUGCCUACGGGCCAAAGAGGGGGACCUUCGGGCCUCUCGCGUCAGGAUAUGCCUAGGUGGGAUUAGCUAGUUGGUGAGGUAAGGGCUCACCAAGGCGACGAUCCCUAGCUGGUCUGAGAGGAUGAUCAGCCACACUGGAACUGAGACACGGUCCAGACUCCUACGGGAGGCAGCAGUGGGGAAUAUUGCACAAUGGGCGCAAGCCUGAUGCAGCCAUGCCGCGUGUGUGAAGAAGGCCUUCGGGUUGUAAAGCACUUUCAGUCGUGAGGAAGGUAGUGUAGUUAAUAGCUGCAUUAUUUGACGUUAGCGACAGAAGAAGCACCGGCUAACUCCGUGCCAGCAGCCGCGGUAAUACGGAGGGUGCGAGCGUUAAUCGGAAUUACUGGGCGUAAAGCGCAUGCAGGUGGUUUGUUAAGUCAGAUGUGAAAGCCCGGGGCUCAACCUCGGAAUUGCAUUUGAAACUGGCAGACUAGAGUACUGUAGAGGGGGGUAGAAUUUCAGGUGUAGCGGUGAAAUGCGUAGAGAUCUGAAGGAAUACCGGUGGCGAAGGCGGCCCCCUGGACAGAUACUGACACUCAGAUGCGAAAGCGUGGGGAGCAAACAGGAUUAGAUACCCUGGUAGUCCACGCCGUAAACGAUGUCUACUUGGAGGUUGUGGCCUUGAGCCGUGGCUUUCGGAGCUAACGCGUUAAGUAGACCGCCUGGGGAGUACGGUCGCAAGAUUAAAACUCAAAUGAAUUGACGGGGGCCCGCACAAGCGGUGGAGCAUGUGGUUUAAUUCGAUGCAACGCGAAGAACCUUACCUACUCUUGACAUCCAGAGAACUUUCCAGAGAUGGAUUGGUGCCUUCGGGAACUCUGAGACAGGUGCUGCAUGGCUGUCGUCAGCUCGUGUUGUGAAAUGUUGGGUUAAGUCCCGCAACGAGCGCAACCCUUAUCCUUGUUUGCCAGCGAGUAAUGUCGGGAACUCCAGGGAGACUGCCGGUGAUAAACCGGAGGAAGGUGGGGACGACGUCAAGUCAUCAUGGCCCUUACGAGUAGGGCUACACACGUGCUACAAUGGCGCAUACAGAGGGCGGCCAACUUGCGAAAGUGAGCGAAUCCCAAAAAGUGCGUCGUAGUCCGGAUUGGAGUCUGCAACUCGACUCCAUGAAGUCGGAAUCGCUAGUAAUCGUGGAUCAGAAUGCCACGGUGAAUACGUUCCCGGGCCUUGUACACACCGCCCGUCACACCAUGGGAGUGGGCUGCAAAAGAAGUAGGUAGUUUAACCUUCGGGGGGACGC